GACGAACGCUGGCGGCGUGCUUAACACAUGCAAGUCGAACGGAAAGGCCUGCUUUCCCUUGUGGAUUGCGGGUACUCGAGUGGCGAACGGGUGAGUAACACGUGAGUGAUCUGCCCCCAACUUGGGUAUAAGCCUGGGAAACUGGGUCUAAUUCCCGAUAGGACUGCAGGGUGGUGCCUGUGGUGGAAAACGAUUUUCUAGUGGUUGGGGAUGAGCUCGCGGCCUAUCAGCUUGUUGGUGGGGUAAUGGCCUACCAAGGCGGCGACGGGUAGCCGGCCUGAGAGGGUGGACGGCCACAUUGGGACUGAGAUACGGCCCAGACUCCUACGGGAGGCAGCAGUGGGGAAUAGUGCACAAUGGGCGGAAGCCUGAUGCAGCGACGCCGCGUGGGGGAUGACGGCCUUCGGGUUGUAAACUCCUUUCGACCGCGAGGAAGCCACAUGGUUGGAAGGGUGGUGACGGUAGUGGUAGAAGAAGCACCGGCUAACUACGUG
Molecule: ribosomal RNA, 494 nt
Filed under: uncultured bacterium
Lineage: Bacteria
Description: partial 16S ribosomal RNA
Rfam family: Bacterial small subunit ribosomal RNA
Source: RNAcentral